GAUGAACGCUGGCGGCGUGCCUAAUACAUGCAAGUCGAGCGAACAGACGAGGAGCUUGCUCCUCUGACGUUAGCGGCGGACGGGUGAGUAACACGUGGAUCACCUACCUAUAAGACUGGGAUAACUUCGGGAAACCGGAGCUAAUACCGGAUAAUAUAUUGAACCGCAUGGUUCAAUAGUGAAAGACGGUUUUGCUGUCACUUAUAGAUGGAUCCGCGCCGCAUUAGCUAGUUGGUAAGGUAACGGCUUACCAAGGCAACGAUGCGUAGCCGACCUGAGAGGGUGAUCGGCCACACUGGAACGGAGACACGGUCAAGACUCCUACGGGAGGCAGCAGUAGGGAAUCUUCCGCAAUGGGCGAAAGCCUUACGGAGCAACGCCGCGUGAGUGAUGAAGGUCUUCGGAUCGUAAAACUCUGUUAUUAGGGAAGAACAAAUGUGUAAGUAACUAUGCACGUCUUGACGGUACCUAAUCAGAAAGCCACGGCUAACUACGUG
RNAcentral lists this ribosomal RNA (497 nucleotides) under uncultured bacterium. Its description in RNAcentral is "partial 16S ribosomal RNA". It matches the Rfam family "Bacterial small subunit ribosomal RNA", at positions 28 to 507 of the family's 1533-position model. The record is from RNAcentral.